Molecule: ribosomal RNA, 326 nt
Filed under: Cercozoa sp.
Lineage: Eukaryota; Cercozoa
Description: SSU rRNA
Rfam family: Eukaryotic small subunit ribosomal RNA (bases 107-326)
Source: RNAcentral
GAUUUCUGGCCUGGUGUGCCUGGCCCGCCAGCGUUAGCUGUGUGAGUGUCGGGACGCGCCUGCCAUCCUUCUAGAGAACAUAUUUACCUUUCAUUAGGCCGAAUAUGCCAUCUAGAUCUUUUACUUUGAAAAAAUUAGAGUGUUUCAAGCAGGCAUGUUUGCUAUGAAUACAUUAGCAUGGAAUAAUAAUCUAGGACUUUCGGUUCUAUUUUGUUGGUGUUCUGGAGCUGAAGUAAUGAUUGAUAGGGAUAGUUGGGGGUGCUAGUAUUCAAUGGCCAGAGGUGAAAUUCUCGGAUUCCUUGAAGACUAACUUAUGCGAAAGCAUU